Molecule: ribosomal RNA, 465 nt
Filed under: uncultured bacterium
Lineage: Bacteria
Description: bacterial SSU rRNA
Rfam family: Bacterial small subunit ribosomal RNA
Source: RNAcentral
CCUACGGGAGGCAGCAGUGGGGAAUUUUGGACAAUGGGCGCAAGCCUGAUCCAGCAAUGCCGCGUGCAGGAUGAAGGCCUUCGGGUUGUAAACUGCUUUUGUACGGAACGAAAAGCCCUCUUCUAAUACAGGAGGGUCAUGACGGUACCGUAAGAAUAAGCACCGGCUAACUACGUGCCAGCAGCCGCGGUAAUACGUAGGGUGCAAGCGUUAAUCGGAAUUACUGGGCGUAAAGCGUGCGCAGGCGGUUUUGUAAGACAGAGGUGAAAUCCCCGGGCUCAACCUGGGAACUGCCUUUGUGACUGCAAGGCUAGAGUACGGCAGAGGGGGAUGGAAUUCCGCGUGUAGCAGUGAAAUGCGUAGAUAUGCGGAGGAACACCGAUGGCGAAGGCAAUCCCCUGGGCCUGUACUGACGCUCAUGCACGAAAGCGUGGGGAGCAAACAGGAUUAGAUACCCCAGUAGUC